CGUAUAUUUAAGUUGCUGCAGUUAAAAAGCUCGUAGUUGGAUUUCGGGUGGGACCUGCCGGUCCGCCGUUUCGGUGUGCACUGGCAGGGCUCACCUUGUUGCCGGGGACGGGCUCCUGGGCUUCACUGUCCGGGACUCGGAGUCGGCGCUGUUACUUUGAGUAAAUUAGAGUGUUCAAAGCAGGCCUACGCUCUGAAUACAUUAGCAUGGAAUAACACGAUAGGACUCUGGCCUAUCCUGUUGGUCUGUAGGACCGGAGUAAUGAUUAAGAGGGACAGUCGGGGG
RNAcentral lists this ribosomal RNA (285 nucleotides) under Chlorella vulgaris. RNAcentral's name for it is "partial small subunit ribosomal RNA". It matches the Rfam family "Eukaryotic small subunit ribosomal RNA", at positions 598 to 888 of the family's 1831-position model. Lineage: Eukaryota; Viridiplantae; Chlorophyta; Trebouxiophyceae; Chlorellales; Chlorellaceae. The record is from RNAcentral.